GGCUUACAAACUUGUAAAGUGCCC
RNAcentral lists this non-coding RNA (24 nucleotides) under Arabidopsis thaliana (thale cress). The record is from RNAcentral. Lineage: Eukaryota; Viridiplantae; Streptophyta; Magnoliopsida; Brassicales; Brassicaceae.